Molecule: unclassified non-coding RNA, 371 nt
Filed under: uncultured bacterium
Lineage: Bacteria
Description: contains 16S-23S intergenic spacer region
Source: RNAcentral
UCCCGCUUGACGCGGGCAGUCUCCCUAGAGUUCCCGGCAUCACCCGCUGGCAACUAAGGACAGGGGUUGCGCUCGUUGCGCCACUUAAGGCAACACCUCACGGCACGAGCUGACGACAGCCAUGCACCACCUGUGCAGGCUCCGAAGAGCACCCGCUUUCACGGGUUUCACCCUGCAUGUCAAGCCCAGGUAAGGUUCUUCGCGUUGCAUCGAAUUAAGCAACACGCUCCGCUGCUUGUGCGGGCCCCCGUCAAUUCCUUUGAGUUUCAAUCUUGCGAUCGUACUUCCCAGGUGGGAUACUUAAUGCUUUCGCUCAGACACUUGCUGUGUAUCGCAAAUGUCGAGUAUCCAUCGUUUAGGGCGUGGACUAC